RNAcentral lists this ribosomal RNA (714 nucleotides) under Lactobacillus delbrueckii subsp. lactis. RNAcentral describes it as "bacterial SSU rRNA". It matches the Rfam family "Bacterial small subunit ribosomal RNA", at positions 720 to 1434 of the family's 1533-position model. Lineage: Bacteria; Bacillati; Bacillota; Bacilli; Lactobacillales; Lactobacillaceae. The record is from RNAcentral.
GGCGGCUCUCUGGUCUGCAACUGACGCUGAGGCUCGAAAGCAUGGGUAGCGAACAGGAUUAGAUACCCUGGUAGUCCAUGCCGUAAACGAUGAGCGCUAGGUGUUGGGGACUUUCCAGUCCUCAGUGCCGCAGCAAACGCAUUAAGCGCUCCGCCUGGGGAGUACGACCGCAAGGUUGAAACUCAAAGGAAUUGACGGGGGCCCGCACAAGCGGUGGAGCAUGUGGUUUAAUUCGAAGCAACGCGAAGAACCUUACCAGGUCUUGACAUCCUGCGCUACACCUAGAGAUAGGUGGUUCCCUUCGGGGACGCAGAGACAGGUGGUGCAUGGCUGUCGUCAGCUCGUGUCGUGAGAUGUUGGGUUAAGUCCCGCAACGAGCGCAACCCUUGUCUUUAGUUGCCAUCAUUAAGUUGGGCACUCUAAAGAGACUGCCGGUGACAAACCGGAGGAAGGUGGGGAUGACGUCAAGUCAUCAUGCCCCUUAUGACCUGGGCUACACACGUGCUACAAUGGGCAGUACAACGAGAAGCAAACCCGCGAGGGUAAGCGGAUCUCUUAAAGCUGUUCUCAGUUCGGACUGCAGGCUGCAACUCGCCUGCACGAAGCUGGAAUCGCUAGUAAUCGCGGAUCAGCACGCCGCGGUGAAUACGUUCCCGGGCCUUGUACACACCGCCCGUCACACCAUGGAAGUCUGCAAUGCCCAAAGUCGGUGGG